Molecule: long non-coding RNA, 500 nt
Organism: Paramisgurnus dabryanus
Lineage: Eukaryota; Metazoa; Chordata; Actinopteri; Cypriniformes; Cobitidae
Source: RefSeq, a predicted model, not a curated record
UUUUUAGAUAUUAAUAUUAGAAAACAAGACAAAAAACCCUAGGUAAGGCAAUAAUUUUUUGCAGUGUGAGGGAGAAGAACCAAGCCCUGAGGGAACGUAGUGAACGAGCAGCUUCGGAUGACAGCGGCUCACUUUUGGCGUUGCUUGACAACACUUUGAGGCAGGAUAAAAAGCUCCAGAAACAAUUUCUUUAGAGUAUCUUCUCUAAUCACCUGGACUGGUGUAGGGAAUCAAGCAUGUUUUAGAUACCUGUUUCUGAAGACCAUUGUUCAAAGAGCCAUCCGGAAGAACCCUGCAACCCAGGAUGCCACUGAUUGGGCUGUCCAGGUUAAUGUUACGUGUUACCUGAAAGGAGCAUCUGACCGUGAAGGUGGAAAAAGGCAGUACACAGCUGAGAGGGAACCACAGAUGACCCCUUAAACCGAGGCUGACUACUGACACCCCAGCAUCGCUGACAACUGGAAACAUUUCUUUAUCCUGCAGUCAGUAACAUCAAGAAU